ACUGCACACGCCCAACUCAGUGAGCAUGCGCAGUGUGUGCGUGCGCAUCCGUUGCUGCGCAUGCGCCUUGGUGCGCAUACGCCUUCCUGAGCGAUCUGUGAGGAGCGUUGGGCGUGAGACGGGUCUGUUUAUUCAGUCCCGGUUCUUUCUCACUACUUGAGACACACCAGGGAGAAAUAUGAGUGGGCAAGUGGCAUCAACAUUGGGACCUACAAAGCCAGAUUGCUCCCAGGUGGAUGAACCUGUGGUUGACCAGCAGCCCAGUGUUGAGCAACCUCACCAAGAGGAACCACCAGCUGAGAUUCAGGAUAUCACACCUAGAAAUGAGGAAGGAGAGGAUCCAGUGAAUCGUGAUGAAGAAGAGGAGAAGGAUCCCUUUGAAGAUUCUGGCCUGGAAGCUGAUCUCCAGCUAUUUGCUGAGGCAAAGACUGGGGAUGAAGGUGGAGAUGGUCCUGAUGUCAGGGAGGAGUUUGCAUCAAAUACAGAGCCUGUUGAAAUGCCAGAAGCAGGUGAAGGGCAGCCAUUUGCUUGAAAGAAGAUAAACUGAAACCAUCUAUGCUGCUCUUAUGUUCUGUAUUUGACUAUUAAAGUUCGGUCAAUAAAGUUUUGUUUUCUACUUGCACAUUUUUUGUUAAAUUUAUCCCCGGGUAUUUAAUGUUAUUGAAAAUUCAUGGUUUGUGAUUUUUAUUGUCUAGUUGAGGCUGUCUGUAGAGAUAGAAUGUCUAUAUAUAGAUUUUCUGUCCAACAAUUCCUCUAAAUAUGCAUAUUAAUUCCACAAAUUUAGAUCUAGAUUAUUUUUGCUUUUCAAAAUAUACUAUUAUAUUUGAAUAUCAACAGUUUCUACUGGCUUAAACCUUAAACCUGUCCUCAUUUUGCAGCAUUGAACAAACCUGGCCAGAAUAGUCUUGACUAAAGCAGGUGAUAAUCGGCAUUUAUCCGAAUAGGAAAUGAAAAAUCUUCUUCUCCAUUUCAACCUGUUUACGUUGUUUUUUGUAGAUAUACUUUAUCAGAGUAAGUUCCAUUCUAUUCCUAGUUUGCUGUCUUAAAUAUAGAUUAAUUAUCAUCAAACACUUAUACUGCAUCAAUUGGGAUGAUCAUAGAAUUGUUUUCCCUCCAUUUUUCUAUUAAUGUGGUGAAUUGCAUUGGUAACCUUAUACAUGUAAACCACCCUUGCACUUCUAGGGUUAAAAAAAUUGGGUCAUAACAUAUUCUCUAGGUGUAAUCUACAUGUUAAUGCAUAUACAUACAUAUAUAUACCCACACAUAAAAAAUUCAUAAAAGCCUUUGGUCUUCUCUUGAAUAAAUGGG
Molecule: long non-coding RNA, 1308 nt
Organism: Bos taurus (domestic cattle)
Lineage: Eukaryota; Metazoa; Chordata; Mammalia; Artiodactyla; Bovidae
Source: Ensembl